AAUAGAGGAGCGGAUGAGCAUCAGUACUUUCGUCUUAUGGAGAGCGGUUUUCUCCGACGUAAGAAAAGGGCAUCUCCGCCGAGGCACGGCCAGCAAACCGCACUGUCGUCGCCGGGCGCGCGGGAGAAUACCCGCCCGACUGUCACCGCGAGUGGAGAACUAUUU
RNAcentral lists this non-coding RNA (165 nucleotides) under human gut metagenome. RNAcentral describes it as "Lysine riboswitch". It matches the Rfam family "Lysine riboswitch aptamer". Rfam says of the family: Riboswitches are metabolite binding domains within certain messenger RNAs that serve as precision sensors for their corresponding targets. Allosteric rearrangement of mRNA structure is mediated by ligand binding, and this results in modulation of gene expression. The record is from RNAcentral.